CCGCCCAUAGCUCAGCUGGUAGAGCAAUUCCCUUUUAAGGAAGAGGUCCUCGGUUCGAUCCCGAGUGGGCGGACCA
This 76-nucleotide transfer RNA is filed under the name Candidatus Taylorbacteria bacterium RIFOXYD2_FULL_36_9. RNAcentral's name for it is "tRNA-Lys". It matches the Rfam family "tRNA". Rfam says of the family: Transfer RNA (tRNA) molecules are approximately 80 nucleotides in length. The record is from RNAcentral. Lineage: Bacteria; Candidatus Tayloriibacteriota.